AAUUCUCAACUCCCAAGUUUCUUAUUCUUUAAGAAGCUGUGGUGAGCUUGGACUUGGAGGCUGUGUCGGUCUGCUUCAGAUCGACUCCUCUGAAAUGCAUUAGCGUGAAUCUUACGGAUCACCUUCAACGUGAUAAUUGUCUGCGUUGUGGUCGUGAAGUACUUGUGUUAUUCAUGCUUACAGUCGUCUCUUUCAAGAGACAACUUUUUCGAC
RNAcentral lists this unclassified non-coding RNA (213 nucleotides) under uncultured Agaricomycetes. RNAcentral describes it as "sequence contains ITS2". The record is from RNAcentral. Lineage: Eukaryota; Fungi; Basidiomycota; Agaricomycetes.